RNAcentral lists this long non-coding RNA (421 nucleotides) under Capra hircus (goat). Its description in RNAcentral is "lncRNA (ENSCHIG00010020637.1)". Lineage: Eukaryota; Metazoa; Chordata; Mammalia; Artiodactyla; Bovidae. The record is from RNAcentral.
ACCUGGCACAUUGACCUGAGACAACGUGAAAUAAAAAUGAGAUAUUCUCCAAUCAUGUGAUGCUUGGACUAAAAAUAACACGUGCAUUUUUCAGUUCUGAACUCAGUAAAUGGCACAACGUGAGUCGAGUUUGAGAAAAACAGAGCCUAGUACAGAGGAUGAAUGAAGAAACCAACUCAUCCUGGUCAUUCAGGAAUGUGAAAAUUUCCCCCGUGGCUCCCAGGUCCACAGACUGAGGCUUCCUUGCACAGCCGAGGGCAUGAGGAUCCUGGGGUUAAUACACCAGCCAGAAUAAGCCUGUGGGAUUUAAGCCUGAAGCUUCUAUGAGGAGCGCAUUCAUCAUCCAUUGUAACAUCUCAGUCUCAACAAAGUCGACUCAUUUUCUAGGGAAAUUUUCUCUUUGAUGGCCACUGUUGACGAU